AGGGACUACGGGGCGCAGCAGUAGGGAAUAUUGCUCAAUGGGGGAAACCCUGAAGCAGCAACGCCGCGUGGAGGAUGAAGGUUUUCGGAUUGUAAACUCCUUUUCUUAGAGAAGAUAAUGACGGUAUCUAACGAAUAAGCACCGGCUAACUCCGUGCCAGCAGCCGCGGUAAUACGGAGGGUGCAAGCGUUAUUCGGAAUCACUGGGCGUAAAGAGCGCGUAGGCGGGAUAGCAAGUCAGAUGUGAAAUCCUAUGGCUUAACCAUAGAAAUGCCUUUGAAACUGUUAUUCUAGAGUAUGGGAGAG
RNAcentral lists this ribosomal RNA (305 nucleotides) under uncultured bacterium. Its description in RNAcentral is "bacterial SSU rRNA". It matches the Rfam family "Bacterial small subunit ribosomal RNA", at positions 334 to 656 of the family's 1533-position model. The record is from RNAcentral.